This 736-nucleotide ribosomal RNA is filed under the name uncultured bacterium. RNAcentral describes it as "bacterial SSU rRNA". It matches the Rfam family "Bacterial small subunit ribosomal RNA", at positions 60 to 810 of the family's 1533-position model. The record is from RNAcentral.
UUUCUUACGAUCCCUUCGGGGUGACGAGUUAUUGACUGAGUGGCGGACGGGUGAGUAACGCGUGGGUAACCUACCUUGUACAGGGGGACAACAGUUGGAAACGACUGCUAAUACCGCAUAAGCGCACAGCAUCGCAUGAUGCAGUGUGAAAAGUUUUUUCGGUACAAGAUGGACCCGCGUCUGAUUAGCUAGUUGGUGAGGUAACGGCCCACCAAGGCGACGAUCAGUAGCCGACCUGAGAGGGUGACCGGCCACAUUGGGACUGAGACACGGCCCAAACUCCUACGGGAGGCAGCAGUGGGGAAUAUUGCACAAUGGGCGCAAGCCUGAUGCAGCGACGCCGCGUGAGCGAAGAAGUAUUUCGGUAUGUAAAGCUCUAUCAGCAGGGAAGAUAAUGACGGUACCUGACUAAGAAGCACCGGCUAAAUACGUGCCAGCAGCCGCGGUAAUACGUAUGGUGCAAGCGUUAUCCGGAUUUACUGGGUGUAAAGGGAGCGUAGGCGGUUUUACAAGUCUGAUGUGAAAGCCCGGGGCUCAACUCCGGUAUUGCAUUGGAAACUGUAGAACUAGAGUGUCGGAGGGGUAAGUGGAAUUCCUAGUGUAGCGGUGAAAUGCGUAGAUAUUAGGAGGAACACCAGUGGCGAAGGCGGCUUACUGGACGAUUACUGACGCUGAGGCUCGAAAGCGUGGGGAGCAAACAGGAUUAGAUACCCUGGUAGUCCACGCCGUAAACGAU